RNAcentral lists this ribosomal RNA (274 nucleotides) under uncultured bacterium. RNAcentral describes it as "partial 16S ribosomal RNA". It matches the Rfam family "Bacterial small subunit ribosomal RNA", at positions 523 to 796 of the family's 1533-position model. The record is from RNAcentral.
AUACGGAGGGUCCAAGCGUUAUCCGGAUUCAUUGGGUUUGAAGGGUCCGCAGGCGGGAAAAUAAGUCAGUGGUGAAAGCCUACAGCUCAACUGUAGAACUGCCAUUGAUACUGUUUUUCUUGAGUAUAGAUGAAGUGGGCGGAAUAUAUCAUGUAGCGGUGAAAUGCAUAGAUAUGAUAUAGUACACCGAUUGCGAAGGCAGCUCACUAAACUAUUACUGACGCUCAGGGACGAAAGCGUGGGGAGCGAACAGGAUUAGAUACCCUAGUAGUCC